Phyllostomus hastatus (greater spear-nosed bat) is the source of this 644-nucleotide long non-coding RNA. RefSeq lists it as uncharacterized. The record is from RefSeq and is a predicted model, not a curated record. Lineage: Eukaryota; Metazoa; Chordata; Mammalia; Chiroptera; Phyllostomidae. The transcript is spliced from 3 exons.
GCCUCUUUUCUUUCUUUCUUUCUUCCUUUUUUUUUUUCCGUCUCAAUGGUACAGACAUCAUUGGGAAUGGACGGAAAUAAGUGACUGUAGGGUCGUUGCUUUUUAAGUUCCAAACACAUUCCAGGCAGGCUGUGCCUGAGCCAGUGUCUGUCCCCAGAGUGUCGCAGCGCUGUCCCCGGGAAGGUGGAGCUGUCAGCCUCUCCCCGAGAAAGUGGCCAUGCUGAGGGGCAGGGUGGCUGGGCCAGGAAGUCAUCCAGCGAAGAAAGUCUGUGUGUCACCACCCUUGUCUCCAUUCCCACCUCUGGUACAACUGGAAGGAGUGACCUCUUUGUACCACAGAAUAACUGGGAGAUGAAACAGGAAGCUCUAUGACACACUUGAUCGAAAAUGACACAGACAAAAAAAUCAGGACUCAGCCCCCUUCCAGCACCUCUACCUCCUGCCUGCUGCCCACAGCCGGGAUGCAGGUGACAGGCCUGCCCUGGGACUGCCUCUGACGGCCGUGGACUUCAAGGGCCUCUGCAUUUGCUGAGGAUGUGUCUGCGAUACUAUGGUCAUGAUCUAGCCUGGGUGGCUUCCUAUUUAUCUUGCUGUCUCUGUGUGUAUUAAUCUCUUUUUCUUCAUUAAAAGCUAAGCAAAAAAUA